This 529-nucleotide ribosomal RNA is filed under the name uncultured bacterium. RNAcentral describes it as "bacterial SSU rRNA". It matches the Rfam family "Bacterial small subunit ribosomal RNA", at positions 28 to 530 of the family's 1533-position model. The record is from RNAcentral.
GACGAACGCUGGCGGCGUGCUUAAUACAUGCAAGUCGAGCGAGGCCUUGGAAUUGGAGUCCUUCGGGAUGAAGAGUCCUUGGCCUAGCGGCGGACGGGUGAGUAACGCGUGGGCAACCUACCCCAAAGUCCGGGAUAACAGUGGGAAACCGCUGCUAAUACCGGAUGACUUUACCUGAGGGCAUCCUCGGGUAAAGAAAGGUUACGCUUUGGGAUGGGCCCGCGUCCCAUUAGCUAGUUGGUGAGGUAACGGCUCACCAAGGCGACGAUGGGUAGCCGGCCUGAGAGGGUGAACGGCCACACUGGGACUGAGACACGGCCCAGACUCCUACGGGAGGCAGGCAGUAGGGAAUUUUGGACAAUGGGCGCAAGCCUGAUCCAGCCAUUCCGCGUGCAGGAUGAAGGCCUUCGGGUUGUAAACUGCUUUUGUACGGUAACGAAACGGCGAGCUCUAAUACAGUUUGCUAAUGACGGUACCGUAAGAAUAAGACACCGGCUAACUACGUGCCAGCAGCGCGGUAAUCUCGUCU